This 1396-nucleotide unclassified non-coding RNA is filed under the name Portunus trituberculatus (swimming crab). Its description in RNAcentral is "uncharacterized LOC123512834, transcript variant X5". The record is from RNAcentral. Lineage: Eukaryota; Metazoa; Arthropoda; Malacostraca; Decapoda; Portunidae.
UUCAGACGGGCGAAGAAGUGGUGGUGGAACAGAUGAGUUAUUGUAUACAAUGAAUUGAGCUCCCGCGCUUUCACGUCGCCAGGCAAGGACGCGUUACAGUGAUCUCUAAUCUUCAUUUAUCACCGCAAUCGGUGACACCAGAAUUCUGCCUCCUGUCUCACCGCCACUUAGAGAGGUUUCGGCCGCCCAAUAAUGACGGCUAACCAAUCGCCACCACCGCCAUGGCCGCCGCCAGCACCGAUGAUGACCAAAUGGAUACUGCCAUCUCCCUCACCACUGCUACCACGCGAGUGCUUGCCUCCACCCAGAGCAUCCCACAAGACGCCUCGCACCCACCUGAACAACCACCAUCAACCCAGGCUGUCCACGCCUCCGACCUGGGUAAGUACCACAGACCUCCUUGAGGGGGUGCGGCUCAGCACUCGUUGUGACCGUGUUAUAGCACAUUCCCAAGGUGCCACUCCUCCAGGGGCCUCCCUUCCGUCUGGGGUACUGGGAGAUAACCUGCAGAAGGGCUGGCCGGGAUGCAGACACCUACAACUACUCCAAGGUGUGGCCAUUCAACCGCGACACUGACCCAAAUGAGGUAUUACGAGGCCUCGGACCACUCGACGCCACCUGCCACCUGCACCAGACAACACCACUGCAUCCAAUGUGGUGGGCCCCAUGGACCUCGCUCGGACUACAGCCAAGGCCGCCUCGAGACAAGGCCAGAUCACAGUUUCGCGAGUCUCCUGAUACGUCAUCCCUCGAGGAUCGGCUACCGGUCGUCGCCUGUUAGUUUUGAAUGGACAGCGGUGGGGUACGCUUCGCGCGCACUUACAUUCCAUUAUAAAACUACUUGUGACAAGGCCUUCUACUUGUUGUGUACCUUACUGCAAAGGCAAUUACAAAACUGGUCCAAGAGUGAGUGUAUACUGAUUCCCUCAACAGCCUGAUCGUAGGAGGAAAUGGUUACAAGCCAUCAGGAGGAAGCAUUUCACUCCAACUCAUCACAGCAGGGAUCCACAUAAUGGUUAGGAAGUUUGACAAGAACCACACGGAGGAGGAACAUGCCUGAGUCCUUGAGAAGAACCUCUGCUAUACCGCCCACCUCUUAUUGAGUAGUGCAUUGUGGGACUUGUAGAAUGCCAUUACCUUCCCUGGAUACUUCUUCAGUGCCUAUGACACAGCCCACUUGCAGGUGUCCCAGCCUCUGAACCACACCGAACCACUUUCACUUACAGAGCUCAACUUCGCAUACAUAUUCCUGAAGCUUAAGGAUGAGGUUAUGUUAAAUGGGAGUUUUGUAAGCAGUUUCCUUUGCUCCCUAGGAUCAUCUAAAACAAGAAAGAAGUGUUUUCCUUUGUAGUCAGGCAGUACUGCAAGAAGUCUGAAAAUGCUAUUAAAGCUUGUC